RNAcentral lists this long non-coding RNA (1948 nucleotides) under Octopus sinensis (East Asian common octopus). RNAcentral describes it as "uncharacterized LOC118763130". Lineage: Eukaryota; Metazoa; Mollusca; Cephalopoda; Octopoda; Octopodidae. The record is from RNAcentral.
UUUACUGUACACAUUCAUAGAAUCAACAUGUUGAGUCAAAAGUUUUGUAAUAUUUUGGUAACUUAUCAAAUUACAACGAAAGCAACCUAGCAUUCAAAGUAGAGGCAUCUUGUUGACCCAUCUGAAGCUACCUUUCUGCAAGUUCUUUGAUUCCAUGUUGAUACAAGUUCUUGUUCAUUGGUGUAAAGAGUUCCUUCACUGAAGUUUUCACCUCCUCUUGUUUGAUAAAGCAUUAUGAGCACUGGAAGUGAGCCAUGAAUUGGAAGAAGUAGUUGUCUGAGAGAGCUUGGUACAGACUGUUUGUUUGGUGUGACAUCAGUUCAAUUCCUUCGAGUUCCUGGAGUUUAUUACAGGUUGCUCAAGCAGUUAUAGGUCUUGCAUUGUCUUGUUAUCACUUUUUGUUAACCAAUGCCAUGCCAAGUAAUUUUUAUGCAUAAUGGCAUAUUUCUGCUUCAGCUGUUUGGAAUACAUGUUGGCAUAAAUGGUUCAACCAACCGGAAUAAAUUCAUAGUGAAUUAUCCCCUUGUAAUUCCAACGGAUGCAGAACGUCACCUUGUGCUCUAAGCACCCAUGAUUGGCAACUUGCUCAGCCACUGCUUAUGCACAUUAGGAGUGUAGAAAAAUAUCUCCCUCAGAUUAUUACUUGUUCCAAUCUGUGGCUCACUUCCUGUGCUAGCCACACUUCAUCAACCUAGAGGAGGUGGAAAGUUCUGUGACGGUGUUCUUUGCCUUGAUGGACAAGAACUGGUAUCAUUGUGGGGAUCAAAGAACUUGCAGAAAGGUGGCUUCAGUUAGUGCAACACAAUGACCUCUACUUUACAUUGUAUUAUAGCAUAGAGCAUUCACAUUCACAGAAACUAAUACUUUUGAUGGCUCUCCUCUCUCCAUCUCUCUCAUUCUGCUUUCUACAUGUCCUUCAAAUCACAUUCUACUGUCGAAUGUAAUAUAUGUGUGUAUGUGCAUGCAUGUAUGAGUAUGUAUGUGAGGGGGCUCUUUUUGGUUAAAUCUGCUAAAAGUAUCAGCCAAAUCUCCUUCAAUUCAGUAGCAAUAAGCUAUCAAACACGAUAUAGUGUUGGGUUUCCCACUCUUAUGAUAAAACUAUGUUGGUCAUGAUUAGACUCCUCAGUUUACAUGGAUUUAUUCCUGAAAAAUCCUGGAAUUUUUACUCAUCUGUUAACUAUUUUAUAAUGAUUUGGAGUUUUGGAGACCAGAAGGCAGGAAUUAUGAGCUUAAAAAUUUAUUCCAUUAAAAAUAUAUACUAAUAGAAAACUUUAAAUAUUUACAGAGAAAAUUAAAAAAUAACUUUCCUGGAUAAUAAAAAUGUAUUCCAAUCAGAGGUGUAUGUUUCAACUUGCUCACAAUUUUACAACAGUUAGGGCUCUCAUGGUUUUAUGUAGAAGUCUGCGAAAUUUUUGGGGAGGGUGCCAGUUGAUUAGAUCGACCCCAGUACGCAACUGGUACUUAAUUUAUCAACCCCAAAAGAUGAAAGGCAAAGUUGAGCUCGGCGGAAUUUGAACUCAGAACGUAAAGACAGACAAAACACCGCUAAGCAUUUCACCUGGCAUGUUAACGUUUCCGCUAGCUCGCCACCUAAGUUGGUGAAAUAUUAGUGAAUGAGAGCUGUUUCUGCAAGUUUACAGUUUCGUGUCUGUCUCUUGGAAAAUUAUUUGGGAUCAUGAUUAAAUGCUUCGUUGGUUAUUUUCAUUAGUUUCGUUAAUAGCAAUGUGUAAUCUCUCAAGUUCGGAUGUUUCUUUUAAUGAAGUUAGUGUUUCAGUUAUGGGUUCAAAUAAAGGAUUCUUCUGACAAAAUGAUGAGUGGUUCUGUGGAAGCUUGCUUUUCAACCACAUGAUUCUGGGUUCAGUCCCACUGUGUGACACACUUGGACAAGUGUCUUCUACUAUAGCCUCAGGCCAACCAGUGGAGUGGAUCUGGUAGACAGAAACUGAAA